UGAGGAAUAUUGGUCAAUGGUCGCUAGACUGAACCAGCCAAGUAGCGUGCGGGAUGAAGGCCCUCCGGGUCGUAAACCGCUUUUAGACGGGGAUAAAAGGGCGUACGUGUACGCCGUAUUGCAUGUACCGUCAGAAAAAACGGACCGGCUAAUUCCGUGCCAGCAGCCGCGGUAAUACGGAAGGUCCGGGCGUUAUCCGGAUUUAUUGGGUUUAAAGGGAGCGUAGGCGGACUUUCAAGUCAGUGGUAAAAUCGUGUGGCUCAACCAUACCUCGCCAUUGAAACUGGAAGUCUGGAGUGCACACAGGGGUGCCGGAAUUCAUGGUGUAGCGGUGAAAUGCUUAGAUAUCAUGAAGAACUCCGAUCGCGAAGGCAAGUGCCCGGGGUGCAACUGACGCUGAGGCUCGAAGGUGCGGGUAUCGAACAGGAUUAGAUACC
Molecule: ribosomal RNA, 437 nt
Filed under: uncultured bacterium
Lineage: Bacteria
Description: bacterial SSU rRNA
Rfam family: Bacterial small subunit ribosomal RNA
Source: RNAcentral